RNAcentral lists this ribosomal RNA (275 nucleotides) under uncultured bacterium. RNAcentral's name for it is "partial 16S ribosomal RNA". It matches the Rfam family "Bacterial small subunit ribosomal RNA", at positions 80 to 354 of the family's 1533-position model. The record is from RNAcentral.
UACUCCCGCCGGCGACCGGCGCACGGGUGAGUAACACGUAUGCAACCUGCCCCUGUCAGGGGGACAACCCGCCGAAAGGCGGGCUAAACCCGCGUACAUGCCACCGGGGCAUCCCGGAGGCAGGAAAGGCUUCGGCCGGACAGGGAUGGGCAUGCGGCGCAUUAGGCAGUAGGCGGGGUAACGGCCCACCUAACCGACGAUGCGUAGGGGUUCUGAGAGGAAGGUCCCCCACACUGGUACUGAGACACGGACCAGACUCCUACGGGAGGCAGCAG